AUACGUAGGUGACAAGCGUUAUCCGGAUUUACUGGGCGUAAAGGGCGUGUAGGCGGCCUUGCAAGUCAGAAGUGAAAUUCCUGAGCUCAACUCGGGCGCUGCUUCUGAAACUGCAGGACUUGAGUGCUGGAGGGGAUAGCGGAAUUCCUAGUGGAGCGGUAAAAUGCGCAGAUAUUAGGAAGAACACCGGUGGCGAAGGCGGCUAUCUGGACAGUAACUGACGCUGAGGCGCGAAAGCGUGGGGAGCAAACAGGAUUAGAUACCCUGGUAGUCCACACCGUAAACGAUGAAUACUAGGUGUAGGGGGUAUCGACUCCCUCUGUGCCGCAGUUAACACAAUAAGUAUUCCGCCUGGGGAGUACGGCCGCAAGGUUGAAACUCAAAUGAAUUGGCGGGG
This 397-nucleotide ribosomal RNA is filed under the name uncultured bacterium. RNAcentral describes it as "partial 16S ribosomal RNA". It matches the Rfam family "Bacterial small subunit ribosomal RNA", at positions 523 to 918 of the family's 1533-position model. The record is from RNAcentral.